UACGAAGGGGGGCUAGCGUUGCUCGGAAUCACUGGGCGUAAAGGGCGCGUAGGCGGCCAAGUAAGUUGGGGGUGAAAGCCCGUGGCUCAACCACGGAAUUGCCUUCGAUACUGCUUGGCUUGAGACCGGAAGAGGUGAGUGGAACUGCGAGUGUAGAGGUGAAAUUCGUAGAUAUUCGCAAGAACACCAGUGGCGAAGGCGGCUCACUGGCCCGAUACUGACGCUGAGGCACGAAAGCGUGGGGAGCAAACAGGG
This 255-nucleotide ribosomal RNA is filed under the name uncultured bacterium. RNAcentral's name for it is "partial 16S ribosomal RNA". It matches the Rfam family "Bacterial small subunit ribosomal RNA", at positions 524 to 777 of the family's 1533-position model. The record is from RNAcentral.